Molecule: ribosomal RNA, 494 nt
Filed under: uncultured bacterium
Lineage: Bacteria
Description: partial 16S ribosomal RNA
Rfam family: Bacterial small subunit ribosomal RNA
Source: RNAcentral
GACGAACGCUGGCGGCGUGCUUAACACAUGCAAGUCGAACGGAAAGGCCUGCUUUCCCUUGUGGAUUGCGGGUACUCGAGUGGCGAACGGGUGAGUAACACGUGAGUGAUCUGCCCCCAACUUGGGUAUAAGCCUGGGAAACUGGGUCUAAUUCCCGAUAGGACUGCAGGGUGGUGCCUGUGGUGGAAAACGAUUUUCUAGUGGUUGGGGAUGAGCUCGCGGCCUAUCAGCUUGUUGGUGGGGUAAUGGCCUACCAAGGCGGGGACGGGUAGCCGGCCUGAGAGGGUGGGCGUCCGCAUUGGGACUGAGAUACGGCCCAGACGCCUACGGCAGGCAGCAGUGGGGAAUAUUGCACGAGGGGCGGAAGCCUGAUGCAGCGACGCCGCGUGGGGGAUGACGGCCGUCGGGUUGUAAACUCCUUUCGACCGCGAGGAAGCCACCUGGUUGGAAGGGUGGUGACGGUAGUGGUAGAAGAAGCACCGGCUAACUACGUG